RNAcentral lists this ribosomal RNA (254 nucleotides) under uncultured bacterium. RNAcentral describes it as "partial 16S ribosomal RNA". It matches the Rfam family "Bacterial small subunit ribosomal RNA", at positions 524 to 776 of the family's 1533-position model. The record is from RNAcentral.
UACAGAGGGUGCGAGCGUUGUUCGGAAUUACUGGGCGUAAAGCGCGCGCAGGCGGCCUUUUAAGUCUGCUGGUGAAAUGCCGGGGCUCAACCCCGUGCCCGCCACAGAUACUGGGAGGCUGGAGACGAGUAGAGGCAAGCGGAAUUCCGGGUGUAGCGGUGGAAUGCGUAGAUAUCAGGAGGAACACCUGUGGUGUAGACAGCUUACUGGACCAUCACUGACGCUGAGACACGAAAGCGUGGGUAGCAAACAGG